AAUAGAUACCCAGGUAGUCCUAGCCGUAAACGAUGAACACUAGGCGUAGUCGGUAUCGACCCCGGCUGUGCCGUAGCUAACGCAUUAAGUGUUCCGCCUGGGGAGUACGGCCGCAAGGCUAAAACUCAAAGGAAUUGACGGGGGGCCCGGCACAAGCAGCGGAGCGUGUGGUUUAAUUCGUCGCAACGCGAAGAACCUUACCAGGGCUUGACAUGUGGCGGAAAACGGCGGAAACGUCGUCCUCCCGCAAGGGACCGUCAUGCAGGUGUUGCAUGGCUGUCGUCAGCUCGUGUCGUGAGAUGUUGGGUUAAGUCCCGCAACGAGCGCAACCCCCGUGGCAUGUUGUAUCUCUCAUGCCAGACUGCCGAGAGAAACUCGGAGGAAGGUGGGGAUGACGCCAAGUCAGCAGUGGCCCUUACGUCCUGGGCUACACACACGCUACAAUGGGCCGGUACAACGGGUUGCCAAACCGCGAGGUGGAGCUAAUCCCUUAAAGCCGGUCUCAGUUCGGAUUGCAGGCUGCAACUCGCCUGCA
Molecule: ribosomal RNA, 535 nt
Filed under: uncultured bacterium
Lineage: Bacteria
Description: bacterial SSU rRNA
Rfam family: Bacterial small subunit ribosomal RNA
Source: RNAcentral